UGAGGGUGAGUCAGCCUUGGCCAAUUCGACAUUGGCCAAGCAGCUCAUUUAAGCUAUUUUUUUUCUGACUGAUCAGGAGAAUAAGAAGAAUCGGACUGUUGUUGAAAUAUUUUCUUCCUUUUACCCGAUGAUACUAGGGGUAAAUUUUCCGACAUCUUUUUUUUUGAUCUGAUCUGACUUGAUUUAUCUUCUUCUUUUAGUGGGC
Molecule: long non-coding RNA, 205 nt
Filed under: Elaeis guineensis (African oil palm)
Lineage: Eukaryota; Viridiplantae; Streptophyta; Magnoliopsida; Arecales; Arecaceae
Description: long non-coding RNA (EGUI_LNC006962)
Source: RNAcentral